CGUUCGUUUGUUUUUUUCUUCUUCUUCUUCUUCUUCAUUUCCUUUUUACU
Molecule: non-coding RNA, 50 nt
Filed under: Sexangularia sp. CB-2014
Lineage: Eukaryota; Tubulinea; Elardia; Arcellinida
Source: RNAcentral